GGUAACAAGGUUUCCGUAGGUGAACCUGCGGAAGGAUCAUUAAAUAAUGCAACGUAUGUGGCUUAGUUGCCAAUUGUCCUGAUAAUGAUGUGGGGGAGGAGGAAGGCCCCAGCGGGCUAGGUCCGGUCACAUUUAAAGUGUUAGUGGUAACUACUGCUAGCUUUAUGAUGCUGAAGUUCCUACCCCCCCUGGGGCCCUAGACAUUGAAAUUGCCGGGACAAUUGGCCCACAUGCGCGGCCGGGGACGCUUGCGUCCUGUCUGAACCCUUUGUUUAUACGUACCUCUUGUUGCUUCCUCGGUGAGUAUGCUCACCGGUGGAUAGCCUAUUUAAACCCCUUUGCAGUUGCGGUUAACUUCUGAUGUGGGCAUAAAUUUAGUUACAACUUUCAACAACGGAUCUCUUGGUUCUGGCAUCGAUGAAGAACGCAGCGAAAUGCGAUAAGUAGUGUGAAUUGCAGAAUUCAGUGAAUCAUCGAAUCUUUGAACGCACAUUGCGCCCCUUGGUACUCCAUGGGGCAUGCCUGUUCGAGCGUCAUUUACACCCUCAAGCACUGCUUGGUGUUGGGCGUCUGUCUUGCUAUUAUGUGCAGACUCGCCUUAAAAUUAUUGGCGGCUUCCCGGCUAGCUCCCAGCGCAGCAGAAUCAGCGCUGUGGCGGGCUCGGCCGGGCAGCGUCUCAGCAAGGCCCUUCGGCCUUGACCUCGGAUCAGGUAGGGAUACCCGCUGAACUUAAGCAUAUCAA
Molecule: ribosomal RNA, 742 nt
Filed under: Pleomonodictys capensis
Lineage: Eukaryota; Fungi; Ascomycota; Dothideomycetes; Pleosporales; Pleomonodictydaceae
Description: eukaryotic LSU rRNA
Rfam family: 5.8S ribosomal RNA (bases 383-536)
Source: RNAcentral